CCAUGAGUGCGCGUGCUAUACAUGCAGUCGAGCGGACCGACGGGAGCUUGCUCCCUUAUGUCAGCGGCGGACGGGUGAGUAACACGUGGGUAACCUGCCUGUAAGACUGGGAUAACUCCGGGAAACCGGGGCUAAUACCGGAUGCUUGAUUGAACCGCAUGGUUCAAUUAUUAAAAGGGGCUUUUUUGUACCACUUUCGCAUGGGCCCCCGGCGCGUUUGCUAGUUGGGGAGGGAACGGGUCACCCAAGGGAAAAAGCGUAACCCAACUGAGAGGGGGAUCCGGCCCACUGGGACUGAAAAACCGCCCCAAAACCCACCGGGGGGGAAAAUAUGGAAACUUUCCCAAUGGGGGAAAAUCUGACCGAGCAACACCCCGUGAGUGAUAAAAGUUUUUCGAUCCUAAAACUCUGUUGUUUGGGAAAAAAAAGUUCCCUUUUAAUAGGGGGGUACCUUGACAGUACCCAACCCGAAAGCCACGGCUAAAUACGUGCCCCCACCCCCGGGAAAACGUAUGUGGGGAGCGUUUUCCCGAAUUAUUGGGCGUAAAGCGCGCGCAGGCGGGUUCCUAAAUCUGAUGUGAAAGCCCCCGGCUCAACCGGGGAGGGUCAUUGGAAACUGGGGAACUUGAGUGCGCAAGAAGAGAGUGGAAAUCCACCUGUACCGCUGAAAUGCGUAUAGAUGUGGAGGAAACCCCUGGCGAAAAGCGACUCUCUGGUCUGUAACUGACGCUUAGGCGCGCAAACGUGGGGAGCCCACAGGAUUUAUACCCUGGGAUGUCCCGCCCUAAACGAUGAGAGCGUAAAGGUACAGAGGUUCCCCCCCUUAGUGGGGAGCCAAACCUUAAUCAUUCCCCCGGGGAGAUACAGGUGCAAACUAAAAUC
RNAcentral lists this ribosomal RNA (882 nucleotides) under Bacillus licheniformis. Its description in RNAcentral is "partial 16S ribosomal RNA". It matches the Rfam family "Bacterial small subunit ribosomal RNA", at positions 36 to 900 of the family's 1533-position model. Lineage: Bacteria; Bacillati; Bacillota; Bacilli; Caryophanales; Bacillaceae. The record is from RNAcentral.